Zeugodacus cucurbitae (melon fly) is the source of this 371-nucleotide long non-coding RNA. RefSeq lists it as uncharacterized. The transcript has 2 exons. Lineage: Eukaryota; Metazoa; Arthropoda; Insecta; Diptera; Tephritidae. The record is from RefSeq and is a predicted model, not a curated record.
UAUCAGCACUUUUUCCACGGUAUUUAAAAUAUUUUAUUGCUUAUCAAUCUAUUACAUCUUUUUAAGCAGCGGCCUCACUAUAUAAACCUAUAUGUAAUUGGCAUCAAAUGUUAAUUUAGUAAACUAUCUUCUAGAAAAUGCUUGGUGUCACUUCAGUUGUUACUUUCGCUAUAUUGAGCUUCCUUCAGGCGGGAGAAGGAGAUUGUAUGAUUUUGGUAAAUAGAGCCCGUAAUGUACUAGACCCAUAUUUUGCUAAUAUGGUACCUUUUCUACGAUAAGACAGCAAAGUAUUUUGUUAAUUAUUUUGGUCAAAAUGUAGUAAUCAUACAAAUGAGCAAUAAUCUAAAUAAAGUUCUUGUUAAUUAAAUCGA